GACGAACGCUGGCGGCGUGCUUAACACAUGCAAGUCGAACGAAGUGGCGAACGGGUGAGUAACGCGUAAUAAACCUGCCCUUCAGCGGGGGACAACAGUUGGAAACGACUGCUAUUACCGCAUACUGAAGGAGGGGUUUGCGUGUGAUUAGCUCGUUGGAGGGGUAACGGCCCACCAAGGCGAUGAUCAGUAGCCGGUCUGGUAGGAUGAACGGCCACAAUGGGACUGGGACACGGCCCAGACUCCUACGGGAGGCAGCAGUGGGGAAUCUUCCGCAAUGGACGAAAGGCUGACGGAGCAACGCCGCGUGAGAGAUGACGGCCUUCGGGUUGUAAAGCUCUGUUAAUCGGGACGCGGUACCGGAAUAGAAAGCCACGGCUAACUACGUGCCAGCAGCUGCGGUAAUAC
Molecule: ribosomal RNA, 408 nt
Filed under: uncultured bacterium
Lineage: Bacteria
Description: partial 16S ribosomal RNA
Rfam family: Bacterial small subunit ribosomal RNA
Source: RNAcentral